This 599-nucleotide ribosomal RNA is filed under the name Escherichia coli. RNAcentral's name for it is "partial 23S ribosomal RNA". It matches the Rfam family "Bacterial large subunit ribosomal RNA", at positions 1285 to 1869 of the family's 2925-position model. The record is from RNAcentral. Lineage: Bacteria; Pseudomonadati; Pseudomonadota; Gammaproteobacteria; Enterobacterales; Enterobacteriaceae.
GAAGUGCGAAUGCUGACAUAAGUAACGAUAAAGCGGGUGAAAAGCCCGCUCGCCGGAAGACCAAGGGUUCCUGUCCAACGUUAAUCGGGGCAGGGUGAGUCGACCCCUAAGGCGAGGCCGAAAGGCGUAGUCGAUGGGAAACAGGUUAAUAUUCCUGUACUUGGUGUUACUGCGAAGGGGGGACGGAGAAGGCUAUGUUGGCCGGGCGACGGUUGUCCCGGUUUAAGCGUGUAGGCUGGUUUUCCAGGCAAAUCCGGAAAAUCAAGGCUGAGGCGUGAUGACGAGGCACUACGGUGCUGAAGCAACAAAUGCCCUGCUUCCAGGAAAAGCCUCUAAGCAUCAGGUAACAUCAAAUCGUACCCCAAACCGACACAGGUGGUCAGGUAGAGAAUACCAAGGCGCUUGAGAGAACUCGGGUGAAGGAACUAGGCAAAAUGGUGCCGUAACUUCGGGAGAAGGCACGCUGAUAUGUAGGUGAAGUCCCUCGCGGAUGGAGCUGAAAUCAGUCGAAGAUACCAGCUGGCUGCAACUGUUUAUUAAAAACACAGCACUGUGCAAACACGAAAGUGGACGUAUACGGUGUGACGCCUGCCCGGUGC